CAAGCCGUCCCUCGGGCCGCUCCCGCCUCCUCCCAGCGCUGCGUUCCUAAUGUGCCCGGUUUUUUUAACUCUCUGCGGCUGGAAUUGCAAGAAGAGCCCCAGCCGCACUUGGGGGCUGUGCUGUGUGUAUCUCAGAGCUGCUGUCAGGGCUCGCUGGCGCCUCCCGUCAUUAGAGGCAGCUGGAUCUGCCACAGGAGCAUCGUGGGCAGGCCUUGGGUGCAGCAGAGUUAUCCCGGGCUGAAGGGGACCGGCUGUAAAAAUGCCAGGAAAAGUUGUCCCAGCGGGGAAAUUGACGCGGAGGCAUCGCCCCGCCGUUGUGGGGUCCCUGUCCCGCAGGAACAGCGUGUCCUGUCCUGAUGGCCCAGAUGCAGGAGGAAUGGGUGAGGAUGCGAAGGAGAGCUAUUUCUUCAGCCAGGGCUGACUCCCUCACUUCCUCAACAGCAUCACCUGCGUGCCUGGCACUUCCCCAGCUGAGACUGACAAGGAUUCAUGAUGGAUGUUGAUAUUCCUCAGGAUGCUGCCAUCUUCUGCUCCCUCAGCACAGCUUCUGGUUGCAGUAAAUCAAAGGAACUGUUCAGAAUCUGAGGGUUUGUCGGCUAAAAACCGGGCUCAGUAAUGCACCUGGUUAAAUAAACAUGUGGGUAGUUCUUGAGGGAUUUUUGAAAGUAUUGUGCUGAAUAAAUGGAGAGUUUAACUGCUGCUGAGUUUAAUUUUUAUUUUCUGAUGCAGUCCACCUGCAUUUCUCAUCAUCAAUAUUACAAAUGUGCUUUUUGACACAGUGGCCUCAGUAACAAUCCUGUGAUUCUUGCAGACGUGUACAGAGCUGGAGAGGCUUUCUGGCUUUUGUCUAGUAGCAGAGCAUAAAUCAAAUGGGAAAUGGUGCUUCCUGCUGAUGGGCAAGAGGAAUGCUGAGCAGGGGAAUCACUCCCAAAGCCAGCCUGCUCCUUAGGUGCUUUGUAGGAGGGAAACGCCCCGAGGCCUCUAUUGGUUCCUUUCAUCUGGUCUGUGGGUUCUUAAACUCCCUGCAGGGACUGCUGCUGGUUUGCAGCUGGAGUGGGAAGAGGAGAGGGUUUGGGCACUUUUUGGUUUGCUCAAAUUACCUUUGCAAGUGGUACCUGCAUCAGAAGGGCUCUGAACCAGACAGCUGAAAGUACUUGAUAGUCCUUGCCCCCCAAAACAAGCAGCUGCUGAACUCCAUGGAGAACUCCCUGGCUCUCAGCUGGGAUCCAGUGGCUGGUGUGGAUAAUUACCUGCUGACCUGUUAUCCAGCUGGGUAUGAAAUGUUGGUGAAACAAAUCCAUGUGCCCAAAGAGCAGCUCAGCUAUGAGAUGGCACAAGGUGCUGGGGUGGAAUCUCACAAUGUCACACUUCCAUCACGUGUGAAGGGGAUUGCCAGUGAGCCCAAGCAUCUAGAAGCCAGUACAGUCUGGUCUGAAGCCAGUGCCAUCUGAGUGACAGAGGAGGUGGAGUACUCCCUGGAAGUGGGGUGGGAGAGCCCUCCAACAGAUGUGCAUUAUUACAGGCUGAACUCCAGAUCCCUAGCGGAGAUGCCUGAGAAGCACAUCUAAGAGCAGAUAAAUCCUCACUGGAGUCAACAGCCCAACCAAUGUGACAACCAACUGAGUGACAGAAGAUACCAGCACUGUCUCACGGAAUAAGGUGGAGGCUCCCUUAGACAGACAGGUACAUGGGGAGAUACACCUUGGCUGGUGGAGACCCCAAGGACAUGCAGGUGGGCAGUGAAAAUGACAUGAUCACCUUACUGGAUCUGAGGCCAGACAUGGAAUGUCACUGACAUCUGGGCAGAGGAGCAAGAAGGCAAGCACCAGAGCUGUGACAGGGGAUGCAGGGACCUACCACAACGGCUGGAAGUUCACAAGAUGGCAAGGGGACAGUGAUGUGGCUCUCAGCAUCUGUGCCCUGCCAUGCCACAGUGCAUGGUGGUACAAGAACCACACCUGGCCAAGCUCAGUGGGAAGCACUGGGAGAGCAGUCACUGAGGGUGUGAACUGGGAGUCAUGGAAAGGAUGUGACUUCUCCAUCUCUUUUAUGGAGAUGAAGAUCUGUCCUCAGUCUUCCAGUAAUGAGCCAGUCCUGGGGAGGAAGAAGUCUUUAUCAGAGAAGAGGAAAAAGAUCAGGAAUUAAAUAGAACUCUCUGCAGAACAAUACCCAAAGUGAUUCAGUGUUUAUUAACAAAGUUUGAUUCAGACAGCUUUCUCCAAUGCAAUAGCUGACCAGUGUGCACCCAGGGACAUCUGGAUCUGCAGGCCAACCUGCUAGCAGCUUUGGAGCUCCUGGAGGGAGAUGUUCCAGAGACUAGGAGGGGGCUUGUGGGGCAUCCUGCUUGUAGAUACUCUGGUUUGGCUAAGCAUGACAAGGACCUGAUUGAUCCAAUACAUGCAAUUUCUAUGAACUUUAUGUAAAACAAGCCUUAACACAUGUUGUUCUUUCUGAAGCCUGGGCUGCAGACUCCUCUUAAUUCUGUCUUUCUCUGGUGCCAUCACUUCAGACUUCCAAAAAUAAAUUUGUACCUACUAACAAAUAAUAGCCCCCUAAUUUACAUCAGAGUGAACUUUUCUGAGACUAUCACCCCUCCCUAUUUUGGUCUGCAGUUCUCCUCAUUAUUUGGGCACAGUCCCUAUUCUUCCUGCAGAACUGGGUUUUGGGAAACACUGCCAGUCUGCUGGCAAGGCUCACUAACCCAUGUGUGUUCUGUAGACUGGGUUGCUCAGCCUCCAGUAUCACAUCUCUGCAGGUUAAAAUCUUUCUAUUUUGCUUGUGUCAUUUUUCCAGCCCAGAAAAAAUACGAAGAAGAUGUGCAGUAGAUUGAUGUUCACUCUCCAGGGUGAGGCCCAGAACAGGGUGAAUGUAAGGUCCAUUCUCCUCCAGGCUCUGCUCACCAUCCCAGACCUCUCUGUACUGCUUGCUUACAGACAAUUAACCAAAUUCCCUAUGUGACUGUUCCAUCUGCUGCCUCUGCUUUUUCAUCAGCAGUGUGGCAGGUAGUGAUGCUGAAAUGAUAACAGUUGUCAUCCACCUCUAAAAUGAACAUCCCUUGGAGUUAAACUAAUCCUGUGUGCCCCAGUACAUGGUUUCACAUUUGACUGCUUUUUUUUUUUGUUUGUUUUUGGGGGCUUUAUUUUUUUAUUUUGUUUUGGUUUUUUUUCACUCACAGCCAUAAAGGUGAAGUUUAUUUUUUUUUCCCCCUGAUAAGACAUUAACAUUCUGGACAGCCAGCUCCAGCCAGGGCAGAAGUAUGAGCUAACCAAAUGCUGCUUGUUCAAAAGCUUCCUUGUCUGAGCACACUGGGACAUGGUUGUCCCAUGUCUUAAUGGCCUUCUCUAUUGCAGUGCUAAGCUGAGUAAUACAUUUUAAAGAAUCCUUCCCAGACUUUGGAGAAAGUAAAAAAUUAACAAAUAAAGGGGGUCUUAAAUAUUUCUGUCUUCUUUGUUUUGGGUGGUAGAAUUGUUUUUCUUCCUAUUUAAGCAUUUUGCAUGAAGUGGAAGCAUUACCCAGGUCUGGAGUGGGACUGUGCAGAUUGGGUCUUUGGGGUCUGCUCCAAAACAGGGAUGGGGAUUGAGCUCUCUUUGUGACUUAACUCUGUGAAGUGCUUAACUGACCUGUGCUUGCUAGGACCUGGCUGAGGAGAGCCAGAGAGUUCUCUCAAAGGUGAGGACUCAAUUCUUCAUCCUACAUUCAGGGCUGUGCCUCUCGGGUGGGCAGGUGAGCAGAGACUCAUCUGAGCUGUGUUAGGCUAUCCAAGCCCUGGCUUGGGGGAGGGAGGAGACUGAUGGCGAGAGGAGUAGAAAGGAAAAUUGUACUUGAAGUGUUUUGCAGGCUCUGUGCUAAGAGCAUGAGAGGAGGACACGGGGAAGCGAUGAGGGCUCUUUACUGUGAAGUGUUUUCUCCCUGUUGCCCACUUGUCUGCAGGAAAGGACAGAUUUCAGUUUGUUAUCCAGUUAAAGGGCUCAGUGAAGUCAUCGGGAAGGUGGCUGAGAUGGAGAGGGUGACCAGUCUCACAGACAGCCACUCUAAAAGUAAGUGUAUGCUCUAAAAUACAGCAGGUGUGAUUGUUACCUGUGACUUUUUCCUCUGCAGCAGCAAAACAUAAUCCCAUCCUAAAGCUGAAUCCCCCCGGAAGCAGGGAGUAUUCCCUUAGGUAGUAUAAGCUUUGUUUUUGUGCUAAGGGCAAAUGAGGUGUUUUAUUUGCAGUUUCUGAGGAGGAUCUGUCUGGCCUCCUAAUGCUCCUCUACCAGGAAGGGCAAAGUGAGAGCUGCUGGAAAACCGCAGCAGAAAGUCAGUAUUCCCAACAGCCACAGGAUGGCAUUGUCCCUUCAGGCAGGAGAGACUCCCCGGUAUCCAGCUGGCCUCUGCGAAAGGACCUUUUUGGGGUUAACUAGAGCCUGUGCUACAGCCCGGGACUGCUCAGAUAGUGCAGUUUGUUUGCCUUGAGGGAUUGGCUGUUCUGGUUUUGAGGCUCAGGAUGGUUGGGGUAGUGCCAUAAAAAGUGCCAUAUCCCUUUACUACCCUUGUUUUGCUGUAAUAUGUGGCCCUGUAACAGUGAUGUAGGAGUGCCAAUACAUUCUCAAAACCUCUGCCUUGCUCUGAGAUCACUUAAAAGUUUAUAUACUGAUUUGCAACACAUCUGGGGCAGAAUUUGAAUCCCAGAAGGCUUUGGCAUCACUGUGUUGAUCCUGUAGCUGGGUCCUACCAGCCAGGACCCACCUAUUGUGAUGUUUCUGGGACCCCAGAGAAAUGUUGCUGUAUUCACCCAGGAACAGGAGGGAGAGGAAAGAUACUCUUCCCAAAGAUACUGUGUUUCUAUGGUGUUGUAAUUUGGAGAGAAGCCUGAAGUGUCUUCCUGCACUGGACACUUGCUUGGAAAGCAGUGUAGUUACUUUUGGUCACUUCUCUAGGCUUUGUUGGCUGAAUAAAUAGUGGAAUGGUCAGUGAGGAUCCAAUUCUUCCACCAUAGAGGGAUUUAAUGGGCAUUUUUCCUUCCCUUCAACCUUUAGACUGCUCCAGGAGUCAUCUCAGCCACUGCAUAUAUCUAACCUAGGACCCUGGAACUAUCCUUUUCUCCUUGCAGCCCAGGCUACCCAAGAGCACCUUGCCCUAAAUCCAGUGUCUAACAUCUGGAGAGAAGCAAGAAGCUCCUUUCUUCUCCAGGAAGUGGGCCUCUGCCAUUUCUAGUGCUCAUCUGUGCUCCUGCACUCCUCUUUCACCAGCCUCUUCCGGAGCCUCAGCUUUGUGGGCAAGGGGCAGCUUGGUGCCUCAUCCGGAUGAGAAGCAGGUUUUUAUUCUUUGCCCUCACAAAGGCAGAGCUCCGUGGUGUAGGAUUUGCAAAGUCUCUGCCCAGCAAGCUGCAGACACCAUGAAAUACUUGUCUGAUCAAAACCAACUGGGGUUAACUAGUCCGUGCUGCUGAUCCCCCUUAAGAAAAAACAAACCUGCAGCCCACCUCCCACAGCACAAGCCUUUUGUUCUUCCCACUACUUCUUGCCCUUGGGUAGUGCAGCUUGGCUGUGCUCAUUAACAAAGCAAGGCCAUUAACUUGAUUAAGUUAAGCUGUUUCUUUAAAAAAGAAAUCUCUAAGCUGCACAGCUGGCUGUAGGCAGACACUGCACAGCCUCUGCUGCUGAGCUCUCCCUGUGUCUUAUCUACAGCCAGGACACAGGUACAAGAAAGAUUUCCCCAGGAAAAUAAACACAUGACCAAGAGAUCGAAA
This is a long non-coding RNA of Passer domesticus (house sparrow), 5728 nucleotides long. RefSeq lists it as uncharacterized. NCBI's taxonomy places the organism in Eukaryota, Metazoa, Chordata, Aves, Passeriformes, Passeridae. The transcript has 8 exons. The record is from RefSeq and is a predicted model, not a curated record.